AUCUUCAGGGAUGGGUGAAAUUCCCUACCGGCGGUAAAGCCCGCGAGCUCUUCGGAGCAGAUCCGGUGUGAUUCCGGAGCCGACAGUACAGUCUGGAUGGGAGAAGAU
RNAcentral lists this non-coding RNA (108 nucleotides) under bovine gut metagenome. RNAcentral describes it as "FMN riboswitch (RFN element)". It matches the Rfam family "FMN riboswitch aptamer (RFN element)". Rfam says of the family: The RFN element is a highly conserved domain that is found frequently in the 5'-untranslated regions of prokaryotic mRNAs that encode for flavin mononucleotide (FMN) biosynthesis and transport proteins. This element is a metabolite-dependent riboswitch that directly binds FMN in the absence of proteins. The record is from RNAcentral.